AUACGGAGGAUGCGAGCGUUAUCCGGAUUUAUUGGGUUUAAAGGGAGCGUAGGCGGGAGCUUAAGUCAGCGGUUAAAUGGUGCGGCUCAACCGUGCCCUGCCGUUGCAGCUGGGUUUCUUGAGAGUGCAAGAGGCGGAUGGAAUUCAUGGUGUAGCGGUGAAAUGCUUAGAUAUCAUGAAGAACUCCGAUUGCGAAGGCAGUCCGCUGGGGCACGUCUGACGCUGAUGCUCGAAGGUGCGGGAAUCAAACAGGAUUAGAUACCCUGGUAGUCCGCACGGUAAACGAUGAUUACCCGCUGUCGGCGGUAGACAGUCGGCGGCCAAGCGAAAGCGAUAAGUAAUCCACCUGGGGAGUACGCCGGCAACGGUGAAACUCAAAGGAAUUGACGGGG
RNAcentral lists this ribosomal RNA (392 nucleotides) under uncultured bacterium. RNAcentral describes it as "partial 16S ribosomal RNA". It matches the Rfam family "Bacterial small subunit ribosomal RNA", at positions 523 to 918 of the family's 1533-position model. The record is from RNAcentral.